AGUGAACGCUGGCGGUAGGCCUAACACAUGCAAGUCGAACGGCAGCACAGUAAGAGCUUGCUCUUACGGGUGGCGAGUGGCGGACGGGUGAGGUAUACAUCGGAAUCUACUUUUUCGUGGGGGAUAACGUAGGGAAACUUACGCUAAUACCGCAUACGACCUACGGGUGAAAGCAGGGGAUCUUCGGACCUUGCGCGAUUGAAUGAGCCGAUGUCGGAUUAGCUAGUUGGCGGGGUAAAGGCCCACCAAGGCGACGAUCCGUAGCUGGUCUGAGAGGAUGAUCAGCCACACUGGAACUGAGACACGGUCCAGACUCCUACGGGAGGCAGCAGUGGGGAAUAGUGGACAAUGGGCGCAAGCCUGAUCCAGCCAUACCGCGUGGGUGAAGAAGGCCUUCGGGUUGUAAAGCCCUUUUGUUGGGAAAGAAAAGCAGCAGGUUAAUACCCCGCUGUUCUGACGGUACCCAAAGAAUAAGCACCGGCUAACUUCGUG
Molecule: ribosomal RNA, 492 nt
Filed under: uncultured bacterium
Lineage: Bacteria
Description: partial 16S ribosomal RNA
Rfam family: Bacterial small subunit ribosomal RNA
Source: RNAcentral